Molecule: ribosomal RNA, 889 nt
Filed under: uncultured bacterium
Lineage: Bacteria
Description: bacterial SSU rRNA
Rfam family: Bacterial small subunit ribosomal RNA
Source: RNAcentral
AGAGUUUGAUCAUGGCUCAGAUUGAACGCUGGCGGCAUGGUUAAAGCAUGCAAGUCGAACGCGAAAGGGGGCAACCCCAAGUAGAGUGGCGGAAGGGCGAGUAAUACAUUCCUAACGUACCCUAAGGUCAGGGAUAGCCAAGGGAAACUUUGGGUAAUACCUGAUGACCCCAUCGGUCGCAUGAUGUGAUGGGCAAAGGCUUGCCGCCUUUGGAGCGGGGAAUGUCCUAUCAGCUAGUUGGUGAGGUAACGGCUCACCAAGGCUAAGACGGGUAGCGGGUGUGAGAGCACGGCCCGCCGCAUCGGGACUGAGACACUGCCCGGACUCCUACGGGAGGCUGCAGCAACGAAUCUUCCGCAAUGGGCGAAAGCCUGACGGAGCAAUGCCGCGUGCAGGAUGAAGCGCUUCGGCGUGUAAACUGCUGUCAGGGUUUAGCAACACAAUGAGCAGACCCAAAGGAAGAGACGGCUAACUCUGUGCCAGCAGCCGCGGUAAUACAGAGGUCUCAAGCGUUAAUCGGAAUCACUGGGCUUAAAGAGUGCGUAGGCGGACUUGUAAGUGUCUUGUGAAAUCCCAUGGCUCAACCAUGGAAUGGCUGGGCAUACUGCAAGUCUUGAGGUCGGUAGGGGUCGCCGGAACUCUAGGUGGAGCGGUGAAAUGCGUAGAUAUCUAGAGGAACGCCGAAGGUGAAGACAGGCGACUGGGCCGGUCCUGACGCUGAGGCACGAAAGCGUGGGGAGCAAACGGGAUUAGAUACCCCGGUAGUCCACGCUGUAAACGAUGUACACUAGGUCGUGAGGGUUCUGACACCAGCACGGCUGCAGGAAAACUAUUAAGUGUACCGCCUGGGGAGUACGGUCGCAAGAUUAAAACUCAAAGGAAUUGACGG